This 460-nucleotide ribosomal RNA is filed under the name uncultured bacterium. RNAcentral's name for it is "partial 16S ribosomal RNA". It matches the Rfam family "Bacterial small subunit ribosomal RNA", at positions 338 to 795 of the family's 1533-position model. The record is from RNAcentral.
CCUACGGGUGGCUGCAGUGAGGAAUAUUGGUCAAUGGGCGCGAGCCUGAACCAGCCAAGUCGCGUGAGGGAUGAAGGUUCUAUGGAUCGUAAACCUCUUUUAUAAGGGAAUAAGGGGUGGGACGUGUCCUAUUUUGUAUGUACCUUAUGAAUAAGGAUCGGCUAAAUCCGUGCCAGCAGCCGCGGUAAUACGGAGGGUCCGAGCGUUAUCCGGAUUUAUUGGGUUUAAAGGGUGCGUAGGCGGCCUUUUAAGUCAGCGGUGAAAGUCUGUGGCUCAACCAUAGAACUGCCGUUGAAACUGGGAGGCUUGAGUAUGUUAGAGGAAGGCGGAAUGCGUGGUGUAGCGGUGAAAUGCUUAGAUAUCACGCAGAACCCCGAUUGCGAAGGCAGCCUGCCAAGCCAUGACUGACGCUGAUGCACGAAAGCGUGGGGAUCAAACAGGAUUAGAUACCCUUGUAGUC